This 213-nucleotide unclassified non-coding RNA is filed under the name Hevea brasiliensis (rubber tree). The record is from RNAcentral. Lineage: Eukaryota; Viridiplantae; Streptophyta; Magnoliopsida; Malpighiales; Euphorbiaceae.
UUGCAAAUCUCAGCUCCUGCUUCGGCGUCGAUCCCUUGUACUAUUUCCAUUAGCAUAUGGCAACUCCUCACGACCACGGUAUGGUGGAGACCUGCUAUAGCCACGACCAUGAGGUGAAAGGCUGCGGCGUUUAGGGGAUCGUCCACGGGGGCUGUAGCUCCUUCUACCAUAGCUUGGACUCCUGCGAUAUCUAGGGCUGCGGCUACGUCGUCU